This 253-nucleotide ribosomal RNA is filed under the name uncultured bacterium. RNAcentral's name for it is "partial 16S ribosomal RNA". It matches the Rfam family "Bacterial small subunit ribosomal RNA", at positions 524 to 776 of the family's 1533-position model. The record is from RNAcentral.
GACGUAGGAGGCGAGCGUUGUCCGGAUUUACUGGGCGUAAAGCGUGUGUAGGUGGUUGUCAUAGUCAGGCGUGAAAGCCUUGAGCUCAACUCAAGAAAUGCGCUUGAUACUGGGCAGCUAGAGGACCGGAGAGGAUAGUGGAAUUCCCAGUGUAGUGGUGAAAUACGUAGAGAUUGGGAAGAGCACCAGUGGCGAAGGCGGCUAUCUGGACGGUUUCUGACACUAAGACACGAAAGCGUGGGGAGCAAACAGG